GAAUGAUUGUAAAAUGUGUAUGGCAUGGAGGAGAGUGUAAGUCCAACUCACAUGGCACAGAGCCUAAGGAUUGGCUCAAAUCACAACAGCUUGGGUAUAUUUAUAUAUAUAUAUUAUAUUUAAUAUACCCAAGCUGUUGUGAUUUGAGCCAAUCCUUAGGCUCUGUGCCAUGUGAGUUGGACUUACACUCUCCUCCAUGCCAUACACAUUUUACAAUCAUUCU
Molecule: non-coding RNA, 223 nt
Organism: Pelobates cultripes (western spadefoot toad)
Lineage: Eukaryota; Metazoa; Chordata; Amphibia; Anura; Pelobatidae
Source: the annotation of a GenBank genome assembly